RNAcentral lists this ribosomal RNA (515 nucleotides) under Pneumocystis carinii. Its description in RNAcentral is "partial large subunit rRNA". The stretch from base 1 to 182 matches the Rfam family "Eukaryotic small subunit ribosomal RNA", at positions 1662 to 1831 of the family's 1831-position model. The record is from RNAcentral. Lineage: Eukaryota; Fungi; Ascomycota; Pneumocystomycetes; Pneumocystales; Pneumocystaceae.
GUACACACCGCCCGUCGCUACUACCGAUUGAAUGGCUUAAUGAGGUCUUCGGACUGGUGAUGGGUUAUUGGCAACGAUAAGCCUAUUACUGGAAAGUUGAUCAAAUUUGGUCAUUUAGAGGAAGUAAAAGUCGUAACAAGGUUUUUUAUUGGUUCUUCUGCAGUGCGCCAAAGGAAGCCUUAGCAGCCUGAAAGGGUGUAUCUCCGCGACUAUAAAUAAAAAGGGGAUUUUAAAUGCUAGUCUGAUAAAAAAAGGCGACAUUGCCAAAUUGCGGGAAGUCCCUAAAGAUUCAACUACUAAGCAGCUUGUGGAAACACAGUUGUGGCCGAGUUAAUAGCCCUGGGUAUAGUAACAAUGUUGAAUAUGACUCUUAAUUGAGGAAAUGGGUGAUCCGCAGCCAAAUCCUAAGGACAUUUUAUUGUCUAUGGAUGCAGUUCACAGGCCAGAUGGCAAUGGGUAUCCUAGUGGGAUAUAUAUAUAUGGAUGCUUAAGAUAUGGUCGAGCUUCUCUCGAAA